CAAACGUGUAACGCAACUAACCGCCGACUUUUGCGAUCACACAAGUCACACUUCGCAGGCUAAAAAUUCCAAUUCUUGUUGGUAUGAAAGCACUGUGUCUCCUGCGUAUUAGAAAAUUUAUAGACUGAUUUGUUACCGCAAAACAUAGCCAACACAAUUAACUUUAUGACUCACAGAUAACGAAAUUUGUAACGCAACUAACCCUGGAGUUACCCAUAUAACCACGGGAUUCGA
Bradysia coprophila is the source of this 234-nucleotide long non-coding RNA. NCBI's taxonomy places the organism in Eukaryota, Metazoa, Arthropoda, Insecta, Diptera, Sciaridae. The record is from RefSeq and is a predicted model, not a curated record.